GAUGAACGCUAGCUACAGGCCUAACACAUGCAAGUCGAGGGGAAACGGGAGCGUAGCUUGCUAUCUUGGCCUGCGACCGGCGCAAGGGGGAGUAACGCGUAUCCAACCUGCCAUCCAGCAGGGGAGAGGCUUGCGAAAGAAACUAUAAUACUCCAUGACCUCCUCAGAGGACAUCUUACUAGGAGCUAAGAUCUAUCGAUAGUUGAUGGGGAUGCUUCUGAUGAGGCAGUGGGCGGGGUAACGGCCCACCAAACCGACGAUCAGUAGGGGUUCUGAGAGGAAGGUCCCCCACAUUGGAACUGAGAAACGGUCCAAACUCCGACGGGAGGCAGCAGUGAGGAAUACUGGUCAAUGGACGUAAGUCUGAACCAGCCAAGUAGCGUGCAGGAUGACGGCCCUAUGGGUUGUAAACUGCUUGUAUGCGGGGGUAAAGUGAGUGACGUGUCAUUCAUUGCAAGUACCGCAAGAAUAAGGACCGGCUAAUUCCGUGCCAGCCGCCGCCGUAA
RNAcentral lists this ribosomal RNA (506 nucleotides) under uncultured bacterium. RNAcentral's name for it is "partial 16S ribosomal RNA". It matches the Rfam family "Bacterial small subunit ribosomal RNA", at positions 28 to 523 of the family's 1533-position model. The record is from RNAcentral.